Molecule: ribosomal RNA, 433 nt
Filed under: uncultured Trebouxia photobiont
Lineage: Eukaryota; Viridiplantae; Chlorophyta; Trebouxiophyceae; Trebouxiales; Trebouxiaceae
Description: bacterial SSU rRNA
Rfam family: Bacterial small subunit ribosomal RNA
Source: RNAcentral
GAACGCAUACCACAAAGUAUGAGUGGCAAACGGGUGAGUAACGCGUGAGACAUCUACCUUACAGCCCGGUAUAAAUCUCUGUAUACAGUGUAUUCUUUAUAUAUGAAUGAAUUCCGGAUACCUUUAUAUAUGUAUAUAAAAGAAAGGCAAAGAACCGUUGUAAGAUGAGCUCGCGUAGGAUUAGGUAGUUGGUAAGGUAAAAGCUUAUCCAAGCCGAUGAUCCUUAGCUGGUCUGAGAGGAUGAUCAGCCACACUGGGACUGAGACACGGCCCAGACGCUUUCGAGCGGCAGCAGUGAGGAAUUUUGGACAAUGGGCGAAAGCCUGAUCCAGCUAUAUCGCAUGAAUGAAGAAGGCUCAAUUGGUUGUAAAAUUCAUACUUUCAUUAUAGAUUAUGACAUUGAUGAAAUGAGCAGUCCCGGCCAACUCCGUGC